UUGUCUCUCUUGAGUGGAUCCUGAGUACGACGGAGCACGUGAAAUUCCGUCGGAAUCUGGGAGGACCAUCUCCUAAGGCUAAAUACUCUCUAGUGACCGAUAGUGAACCAGUACCGUGAGGGAAAGGUGAAAAGCACCCCGGAAGGGGAGUGAAAUAGAACCUGAAACCGUGUGCUUACAAGUAGUCAGAGCCCGUUAAUGGGUGAUGGCGUGCCUUUUGUAGAAUGAACCGGCGAGUUACGAUUUGAUGCAAGGUUAAGCAGUAAAUGUGGAGCCGUAGCGAAAGCGAGUCUGAAUAGGGCGUUUAGUAUUUGGUCGUAGACCCGAAACCAGGUGAUCUACCCUUGGUCAGGUUGAAGUUCAGGUAACACUGAAUGGAGGACCGAACCGACUUACGUUGAAAAGUGAGCGGAUGAACUGAGGGUAGCGGAGAAAUUCCAAUCGAACCUGGAGAUAGCUGGUUCUCUCCGAAAUAGCUUUAGGGCUAGCCUCAAGUGAUGAUUAUUGGAGGUAGAGCACUGUUUGGACGAGGGGCCCCUCUCGGGUUACCGAAUUCAGACAAACUCCGAAUGCCAAUUAAUUUAACUUGGGAGUCAGAACAUGGGUGAUAAGGUCCGUGUUCGAAAGGGAAACAGCCCAGACCACCAGCUAAGGUCCCAAAAUAUAUGUUAAGUGGAAAAGGAUGUGGCGUUGCCCAGACAACUAGGAUGUUGGCUUAGAAGCAGCCAUCAUUUAAAGAGUGCGUAAUAGCUCACUAGUCGAGUGACACUGCGCCGA
Molecule: ribosomal RNA, 777 nt
Filed under: Staphylococcus aureus
Lineage: Bacteria; Bacillati; Bacillota; Bacilli; Caryophanales; Staphylococcaceae
Also listed under: 1 other name
Description: partial 23S ribosomal RNA
Rfam family: Bacterial large subunit ribosomal RNA
Source: RNAcentral